AGAGUUUGAUCCUGGCUCAGAUUGAACGCUGGCGGCAUGCCUUACACAUGCAAGUCGAACGGUAGAGUAGCAAUACUCGAGAGUGGCAAACGGGUGAGUAAUAUAUCGGAACGUGCCCAUAUCGUGGGGGAUAACGUAGAGAAAUUUAACGCUAAUACCGCAUACGAUCUAAGGAUGAAAGCGGGGGAUUCGCAAGAACCUCACGACGAUUGGAGCGGACUGAUAUCAGAUCAGGUAGUGGGUGAGGUAAAAGCUCACCAAGCCGACGAUCUGUAGCAGGUUAGAGAGAACGACCAGCCACACUGGGACUGAGACACGGACCAGACUCCUACGGGAGGCAGCAGCGGGGAAUCACGGACAAUGGGCGAAAGCCUGAUCCAGCAAUGCCGCGUGCAGGAGAGAAGGCCUUCGGGUCGUAAACUGAUUUUGUACGGAACGAAAAGGCUCUAUCUAAUAAAGAGGGCCCAUGACGGUACCGUAAGAAUAAGCACCGGCUAACUAC
RNAcentral lists this ribosomal RNA (502 nucleotides) under uncultured beta proteobacterium. Its description in RNAcentral is "bacterial SSU rRNA". It matches the Rfam family "Bacterial small subunit ribosomal RNA", at positions 8 to 504 of the family's 1533-position model. The record is from RNAcentral. Lineage: Bacteria; Pseudomonadati; Pseudomonadota; Betaproteobacteria.